AUUGAACGCUGGCGGCAUGCCUUACACAUGCAAGUCGAAACGGCAGCACGGGAGCAAUCCUGGUGGCGAGUGGCGAACGGGUGAGUAAUAUAUCGGAACGUGCCCAGUCGUGGGGGAUAACGUAGCGAAAGCUACGCUAAUACCGCAUACGAUCUAUGGAUGAAAGCGGGGGAUCGCAAGACCUCGCGCGAUUGGAGCGGCCGAUAUCAGAUUAGGUAGUUGGUGAGGUAAAGGCUCACCAAGCCGACGAUCUGUAGCUGGUCUGAGAGGACGACCAGCCACACUGGGACUGAGACACGGCCCAGACUCCUACGGGAGACAGCAGUGGGAAUUUUGGACAAUGGGCGCAAGCCUGAUCCAGCAAUGCCGCGUGCAGGAUGAAGGCCUUCGGGUUGUAAACUGCUUUUGUACGGAACGAAACGGUGAGCUCUAAUACAGUUUGCUAAUGACGGUACCGUAAGAAUAAGCACCGGCUAACUACGUG
This 484-nucleotide ribosomal RNA is filed under the name uncultured bacterium. RNAcentral's name for it is "bacterial SSU rRNA". It matches the Rfam family "Bacterial small subunit ribosomal RNA", at positions 30 to 507 of the family's 1533-position model. The record is from RNAcentral.